Molecule: ribosomal RNA, 915 nt
Filed under: Triticum aestivum (bread wheat)
Lineage: Eukaryota; Viridiplantae; Streptophyta; Magnoliopsida; Poales; Poaceae
Description: partial small subunit ribosomal RNA
Source: RNAcentral
AUGUCCGGCAUCCUGCGGCUCGCCGGCGCCGCCAGAUCCUUCUCCCGCGCGUUGGCUCCGGCCGCGCCGCACCACCGCAGGCUCGCGGCAUCGGCGGCCGCCCUGGCGGAGGACGAUGCGUGCUGGACCGAGUGGGAGGAGGAGGAGGAGGAGGCGCGGCGGCAGCGCGCCCGCGCAUCGGCGCCCGCCGCGGAGUCUUGCCCGGCGGACGGCGGUCCCAGGGGCGUGCAGUGGGUGGUGAUGGGCCGCCCCGGCCCGCAGAAGCACGCCCACGCCGCGCGCCUCGCCGAGGUCCUCGCCGUGCCGUACAUCUCCAUGGGCACGCUCGUCAGGCAGGAGCUCAGCCCCACAUCCUCGCUCUACAAGAAGAUUGCUAAUUCGGUGAAUGAAGGGAAGCUUGUGCCAGAGGAUAUCAUAUUUGGGUUGCUGACUAAGCGUCUCGAGGAGGGAUACUACAAGGGUGAAAAUGGAUUUAUCCUUGACGGAAUCCCACGUACCCGUGUGCAAGCUGAGAUUCUUGAUGAGAUCGUUGACAUCGACUUGGUUCUGAACUUCAAAUGUGCUGGUAACUGUUUCAUGAAGAAGCGAUCUGGAGGCGACAUAUGUUCCCACUGUGGGCAGCAUUUUGGUGUCAGCAGUCUGGUGUCUAGGGAGCGUAAUCUCUCCCUUGGAAGCUCUACAUGGCCUGCUCAGGCACAACAUGCUUCUGUUAUAGGCCUGGAAAACCCAAGGAUGGAGAAGCUGCGUGCUUAUGCUGAGCAGACCAAGCAGCUGGAAGAUUACUACAAGAAGCACAGGAAACUUGUGGAGUUGAAGACAUCCGCUCGCCCUGGUGAAACCUGGCAGGGGCUCGUAGCUGCCCUUCACCUCCAGCAUCUAGACCCAUCCCCAACACCACACAAACUCACCGUGUAA